UACAGAGGGGGCAAGCGUUAUUCGGAAUUAUUGGGCGUAAAGGGCGCGUAGGCGGUUUUUUAAGUCAGAUGUGCAAUCCCCGAGCUUAACUUGGGAACUGCAUCUGAGACUGGAUGACUAGAGUGCUGGAGAGGGUGGUAGAAUUCCACGUGUAGCGGUGAAAUGCGUAGAGAUGUGGAGGAAUACCAGUGGCGAAGGCGGCCACCUGGACAGUAACUGACGCUGAGGCGCGAAAGUGUGGGUAGCAAACAGG
This 253-nucleotide ribosomal RNA is filed under the name uncultured bacterium. RNAcentral's name for it is "partial 16S ribosomal RNA". It matches the Rfam family "Bacterial small subunit ribosomal RNA", at positions 524 to 776 of the family's 1533-position model. The record is from RNAcentral.